UCGCCUGUUUAUCAAAAACAUGGUUUUUUGGUUUUAUGAAAGAUCUGGCCUGCCCAAUGAUUGUAUUUAAUGGCUGCAGUAUUUUGACUGUACAAAGGUAGCAUAAUCAUUUGUGUCUUAAUUGGAUUCUGGAAUGAAUGGUUGGAUGAGAAAUCUACUUUCUUUGGUUUAUUUUCAAAAACUUGAUUUCUAAGUGAAAAAGCUUAGAUUAGGUUAGAGGACGAGAAGACCCUAUAGAACUUUAUUGAUCUUCUGAGAUAGAAAUGUUGGAAAUAUUGCUUUAUUUCGGUUGGGUGAAUUUUGUUGGGGUGACAGAAAAAAUUUUAUAACUUUUUAGGCUUGUAUCAUUUAUGUAUGAUAUUUUGAUCUUGUUUUAUGGCAAAAAGACUAAGUUACCUUAGGGAUAACAGCGUUAUUGUUUCGGAGAGUUCAUAUUGAUGAAACAGUUUGCGACCUCGAUGUUGAAUUAAAAAUAGUCCCAGGAGUAUAGCAUUGGUGACUAGGUCUGUUCGCCUUUGGAUUUUUACAUGAUCUGAGUUCAAACCGGAGA
RNAcentral lists this ribosomal RNA (550 nucleotides) under Cleotomiris yamadakazi. RNAcentral's name for it is "partial 16S ribosomal RNA". It matches the Rfam family "Bacterial large subunit ribosomal RNA", at positions 1796 to 2622 of the family's 2925-position model. The record is from RNAcentral. Lineage: Eukaryota; Metazoa; Arthropoda; Insecta; Hemiptera; Miridae.